This 109-nucleotide microRNA precursor is filed under the name Sorghum bicolor (sorghum). RNAcentral's name for it is "MIR5565 microRNA precursor family". It matches the Rfam family "MIR5565 microRNA precursor family". Lineage: Eukaryota; Viridiplantae; Streptophyta; Magnoliopsida; Poales; Poaceae. The record is from Rfam by way of RNAcentral.
GUAGUUAGGUUCACAUCAAUCCACGUAUAUUGAUUUGGAUUGGAGUAGAAUUUGAACUAAAUUGUACUCCAAUCCACACUAACACAUAUGGAUUGAAUUGAAUACGACA